Molecule: ribosomal RNA, 117 nt
Filed under: Danio rerio (zebrafish)
Lineage: Eukaryota; Metazoa; Chordata; Actinopteri; Cypriniformes; Danionidae
Source: RNAcentral
AUUAUCAGCCAUAUCACCCUGCAGCCCAAGACCGGUUACUCACUAAAGCUAAGCAGGGCUGAGCCUGGUUAGUACCUGGAUGGGAGACCACUAGGGAACACUAGGUUGCUGUUGGAA